CUCUGAGGGGCUGGAAAGUGCCCCACCAAUCUGGCUAAGAUAAGGAAAAGAUAUGAAGAGAAAGUUACAGAAACUUGAAGGGUUAAGCUAAGUCACUGAGAGAGUUAUUGUAAGUUGCAGAGAAAAUAAGUUGAUGCGUGGUUCAGGGUCUGUGCAGAAAAGUGGACAGCACCUAAUAGCUGUAGAAGAAGAUGCAGAGAGACUGAAAAAAGAAAGAAAGAAAGAAAGAAAGAAAGAAAGAAAGAAAGAAAGAAAGAAAAAAGAGCAGGAAGCUAGGGAAGAAAAGAGACCAAAAGAAGAGGAAGCUAGAGAGCUAAAGAGAGAUAAAAGAGAGGAACAUAUACUGGC
This 348-nucleotide long non-coding RNA is filed under the name Rattus norvegicus (Norway rat). RNAcentral's name for it is "long non-coding RNA NONRATT021167". Lineage: Eukaryota; Metazoa; Chordata; Mammalia; Rodentia; Muridae. The record is from RNAcentral.